UUAAAACUCAAAUGAAUUGACGGGGGCCCGCACAAGCGGUGGAGCAUGUGGUUUAAUUCGAUGCAACGCGAAGAACCUUACCUGGUCUUGACAUCCACGGAAGUUUUCAGAGAUGAGAAUGUGCCUUCGGGAACCGUGAGACAGGUGCUGCAUGGCUGUCGUCAGCUCGUGUUGUGAAAUGUUGGGUUAAGUCCCGCAACGAGCGCAACCCUUAUCCUUUGUUGCCAGCGGUCCGGCCGGGAACUCAAAGGAGACUGCCAGUGAUAAACUGGAGGAAGGUGGGGAUGACGUCAAGUCAUCAUGGCCCUUACGACCAGGGCUACACACGUGCUACAAUGGCGCAUACAAAGAGAAGCGACCUCGCGAGAGCAAGCGGACCUCAUAAAGUGCGUCGUAGUCCGGAUUGGAGUCUGCAACUCGACUCCAUGAAGUCGGAAUCGCUAGUAAUCGUGGAUCAGAAUGCCACGGUGAAUACGUUCCCGGGCCUUGUACACACCGCCCGUCACACCAUGGGAGUGGGUUGCAAAAGAAGUAGGUAGC
This 540-nucleotide ribosomal RNA is filed under the name Shigella flexneri. RNAcentral's name for it is "bacterial SSU rRNA". It matches the Rfam family "Bacterial small subunit ribosomal RNA", at positions 894 to 1434 of the family's 1533-position model. Lineage: Bacteria; Pseudomonadati; Pseudomonadota; Gammaproteobacteria; Enterobacterales; Enterobacteriaceae. The record is from RNAcentral.